This 1115-nucleotide ribosomal RNA is filed under the name Salmonella enterica subsp. enterica serovar Kentucky. RNAcentral describes it as "partial 23S ribosomal RNA". It matches the Rfam family "Bacterial large subunit ribosomal RNA", at positions 664 to 1773 of the family's 2925-position model. The record is from RNAcentral. Lineage: Bacteria; Pseudomonadati; Pseudomonadota; Gammaproteobacteria; Enterobacterales; Enterobacteriaceae.
AGCCGAAGGGAAACCGAGUCUUAACUGGGCGUUAAGUUGCAGGGUAUAGACCCGAAACCCGGUGAUCUAGCCAUGGGCAGGUUGAAGGUUGGGUAACACUAACUGGAGGACCGAACCGACUAAUGUUGAAAAAUUAGCGGAUGACUUGUGGCUGGGGGUGAAAGGCCAAUCAAACCGGGAGAUAGCUGGUUCUCCCCGAAAGCUAUUUAGGUAGCGCCUCGUGAACUCAUCUUCGGGGGUAGAGCACUGUUUCGGCUAGGGGGUCAUCCCGACUUACCAACCCGAUGCAAACUGCGAAUACCGAAGAAUGUUAUCACGGGAGACACACGGCGGGUGCUAACGUCCGUCGUGAAGAGGGAAACAACCCAGACCGCCAGCUAAGGUCCCAAAGUCACAGUUAAGUGGGAAACGAUGUGGGAAGGCUCAGACAGCCAGGAUGUUGGCUUAGAAGCAGCCAUCAUUUAAAGAAAGCGUAAUAGCUCACUGGUCGAGUCGGCCUGCGCGGAAGAUGUAACGGGGCUAAACUGUGCACCGAAGCUGCGGCAGCGACGCUUAUGCGUUGUUGGGUAGGGGAGCGUUCUGUAAGCCUGCGAAGGUGUCCUGUGAGGGAUGCUGGAGGUAUCAGAAGUGCGAAUGCUGACAUAAGUAACGAUAAUGCGGGUGAAAAGCCCGCUCGCCGGAAGACCAAGGGUUCCUGUCCAACGUUAAUCGGGGCAGGGUGAGUCGACCCCUAAGGCGAGGCCGAAAGGCGUAGUCGAUGGGAAACGGGUUAAUAUUCCCGUACUUGGUGUUACUGCGAAGGGGGGACGGAGAAGGCUAUGUUGGCCGGGCGACGGUUGUCCCGGUUUAAGCGUGUAGGCUGGUUUUCCAGGCAAAUCCGGAAAAUCAAGGCUGAGGCGUGAUGACGAGGCACUACGGUGCUGAAGCAACAAAUGCCCUGCUUCCAGGAAAAGCCUCUAAGCAUCAGGUAACAUCAAAUCGUACCCCAAACCGACACAGGUGGUCAGGUAGAGAAUACCAAGGCGCUUGAGAGAACUCGGGUGAAGGAACUAGGCAAAAUGGUGCCGUAACUUCGGGAGAAGGCACGCUGACACGUAGGUGAAGUGAUUUACUCA